This 83-nucleotide transfer RNA is filed under the name Terriglobia bacterium. Its description in RNAcentral is "tRNA-Leu". It matches the Rfam family "tRNA". From Rfam's summary of the family: Transfer RNA (tRNA) molecules are approximately 80 nucleotides in length. The record is from RNAcentral. Lineage: Bacteria; Pseudomonadati; Acidobacteriota; Terriglobia.
GCCCGAGUGGCGAAAUGCAUACGCACUGGUCUUAGAAACCAGUUCCUUCGGGAGUGAGAGUUCAAGUCUCUCCUCGGGUACCA